CGCGGAGCCACGCCCCCCCCCCGGCGCGCCGCGCGCACCCGGUGGCCGGGCCGGGGCCGCGCGGGGAGCUCCUGGGAAAUGGAGUCCGCGGCGCCGCCAUCUUGGAGCGGGGACGGAGGGACGGAGGGAGGCCACCCCCUCUCUGGGCCAUGACACUGAGGACACAGUUAUGGGCGCAGGACAGGAACCCCCCCACAAGGAGCCCCUGGAGGGGGACAGCUGCCACCCUGCCCCCAGGACUGGGACCGAGGACGUUGCCAUCCUGGAGCCACCAACGUGUCGUGACCCCUCUGGGUGCAGGUGGGUGUUGGGGGUGGGGGCUGCUUGAGUUGGGGGUGGUAUGUCUCUGGGGACCUGGCGG
RNAcentral lists this long non-coding RNA (361 nucleotides) under Aquila chrysaetos chrysaetos. RNAcentral's name for it is "lncRNA (ENSACCG00020012438.1)". Lineage: Eukaryota; Metazoa; Chordata; Aves; Accipitriformes; Accipitridae. The record is from RNAcentral.